RNAcentral lists this ribosomal RNA (724 nucleotides) under Nagrajchalara strobilina. RNAcentral's name for it is "SSU rRNA". It matches the Rfam family "Eukaryotic small subunit ribosomal RNA", at positions 81 to 815 of the family's 1831-position model. Lineage: Eukaryota; Fungi; Ascomycota; Leotiomycetes; Helotiales. The record is from RNAcentral.
GUGAAACUGCGAAUGGCUCAUUAAAUCAGUUAUCGUUUAUUUGAUAGUACCUUACUACUUGGAUAACCGUGGUAAUUCUAGAGCUAAUACAUGCUAAAAACCUCGACUUCGGAAGGGGUGUAUUUAUUAGAUAAAAAACCAAUGCCCUUCGGGGCUCACUGGUGAUUCAUAAUAACUUAACGAAUCGCAUGGCCUUGUGCCGGCGAUGGUUCAUUCAAAUUUCUGCCCUAUCAACUUUCGAUGGUAUGGUCUUGGCUUACCAUGGUUUCAACGGGUAACGGGGAAUUAGGGUUCUAUUCCGGAGAGGGAGCCUGAGAAACGGCUACCACAUCCAAGGAAGGCAGCAGGCGCGCAAAUUACCCAAUCCUGAUACAGGGAGGUAGUGACAAUAAAUACUGAUACAGGGCUCUUUUGGGUCUUGUAAUUGGAAUGAGUACAAUUUAAAUCCCUUAACGAGGAACAAUUGGAGGGCAAGUCUGGUGCCAGCAGCCGCGGUAAUUCCAGCUCCAAUAGCGUAUAUUAAAGUUGUUGCAGUUAAAAAGCUCGUAGUUGAACCUUGGGCCUGGCUGGUCGGUCCGCCUCACCGCGUGCACUGAUCCGGCCGGGCCUUUCCUUCUGGGGAGCCGCAUGCCCUUCACUGGGUGUGUCGGGGAACCAGGACUUUUACUUUGAAAAAAUUAGAGUGUUCAAAGCAGGCCUAUGCUCGAAUACAUUAGCAUGGAAU